GUAGUCGUGGCCGAGUGGUUAAGGUGACAGACUUGAAAUCUGUUGGGAUAUUCCCGCGCAGGUUCAAAUCCUGCCGACUACA
This 82-nucleotide transfer RNA is filed under the name Dendronephthya gigantea. RNAcentral's name for it is "tRNA-Ser". It matches the Rfam family "tRNA". From Rfam's summary of the family: Transfer RNA (tRNA) molecules are approximately 80 nucleotides in length. The record is from RNAcentral. Lineage: Eukaryota; Metazoa; Cnidaria; Anthozoa; Malacalcyonacea; Nephtheidae.